Small nucleolar RNA from Eptesicus fuscus (big brown bat), 130 nucleotides. RefSeq annotates it as small nucleolar RNA SNORA11. The record is from RefSeq and is a predicted model, not a curated record. NCBI's taxonomy places the organism in Eukaryota, Metazoa, Chordata, Mammalia, Chiroptera, Vespertilionidae. The transcript has a single exon.
UGGAUGUGGAGAGAGCAGAGCGCCUGAAGAAUGGCUCCUUUGUGAUGAACACAUCCGACAGCAACUUGGGCUUACUCCUCACGGGUGGCAGGAUACCCGUGACCUUCCUGUGAUAUUACGCCCUAUAUAU